This 90-nucleotide unclassified non-coding RNA is filed under the name Pseudomonas moraviensis. Lineage: Bacteria; Pseudomonadati; Pseudomonadota; Gammaproteobacteria; Pseudomonadales; Pseudomonadaceae. The record is from RNAcentral.
UGUAGGAGUGAGCCUGCUCGCGAUAGCGUCGGGUCAGCCAACAUCAAUGUUGAAUGUCCGUUCGCUAUCGCGAGCAGGCUCACUCCUACA